Molecule: ribosomal RNA, 460 nt
Filed under: uncultured bacterium
Lineage: Bacteria
Description: partial 16S ribosomal RNA
Rfam family: Bacterial small subunit ribosomal RNA
Source: RNAcentral
CCUACGGGAGGCAGCAGUGAGGAAUAUUGGUCAAUGGACGAGAGUCUGAACCAGCCAAGUAGCGUGAAGGAUGACUGUCCUAUGGGUUGUAAACUUCUUUUAUAUGGGAAUAAAAUGUUCCACGUGUGGGAUUUUGUAUGUACCAUAUGAAUAAGGAUCGGCUAACUCCGUGCCAGCAGCCGCGGUAAUACGGAGGAUCCGAGCGUUAUCCGGAUUUAUUGGGUUUAAAGGGAGCGUAGGUGGAUUGUUAAGUCAGUUGUGAAAGUUUGGGGCUCAACCGUGAAAUUGCAGUUGAAACUGGCAGUCUUGAGUACAGUAGAGGUAGGCGGAAUUCGUGGUGUAGCGGUGAAAUGCUUAGAUAUCGCGAAGAACUCCGAUUGCGAAGGCAGCACGCUGGACUGCAACUGACACUGAGGCUCGAAAGUGUGGGUAUCGAACAGGAUUAGAUACCCUAGUAGUC